Molecule: ribosomal RNA, 497 nt
Filed under: uncultured bacterium
Lineage: Bacteria
Description: bacterial SSU rRNA
Rfam family: Bacterial small subunit ribosomal RNA
Source: RNAcentral
GAGUUUGAUUCUGGCUCAGAACGAACGCUGGUGGCGUGUCUUAUACAUGCAAGUCGAGCGAGGCAGCAAUGCCGAGCGGCGAACGGGUGAGUAACGCGUAAGCAAUCUGCCCCAUAUCAGGAAAUACCCGUGCCAACGCGCGGUUAAUGUCCAGGAGAGUGGCCCUCUGCAUGGAGGGUUGACUAGAGAUUUAUCGGUAUGGGAUGAGCUUGCGUCCGAUUAGCUAGUUGGCGGGGCAACGGCCCACCAAGGCGACGAUCGGUAGCCGGCCUGAGAGGGUGAUCGGCCACAUUGGGACUGAGAUACGGCCCAGACUCCUACGAGAGGCAGCAGUAGGGAAUAUUGCACAAUGGGGGAAACCCUGAUGCAGCAACGCCACGUGUGGGAAGAAGCAUUUCGGUGUGUAAACCACUGUCAUGAGGGAAUAAGGCCCGCCUUCGGGCGGGAUUGAAUGUACCUUGAGAGGAAGCACCGGCAAACUUCGUGCCAGCAGCGGC